CAGGGCAUAGAUAUCCAGUGACUUCGAAAUAAGAGAUGGGGUUAUCCAUCUGUCCCUGCACUGCUGGAGCAGUUCCUGUGGUUUUCUGUGAAUGGUGGAAGCUCACCAUUCAAGUUCACCGCAAUUAAACCACACUUCCCCUAGAUCCCCCAACCAGACUCACCUGUUACCUCCCUCCAUGUCUUCUUGAGUUACAAGAUGUCCAAACCAUCCAGCAAGCUCUCCUUUGCUUAAUUUAAGUGGAGCAAGCAAGAUAAGUUGCUGAUCUUCCUUUUGACCAUCAGAGUUCUGGAAUGGAUUAGUGCCAAGAACAACAAAAGGAUCCAACCUAAUUUGGUUUUAACUCACAUGCAGUCAGUCAGCCUUCACAGUGGCUCUUGUCAGGUUCAGUCCUCCAUGCUGUUUAAAAAGCAAUGUUGUCCUUGGUGUUCACUGAGGAUGCCACCUUGCAUCUG
This 455-nucleotide long non-coding RNA is filed under the name Bos taurus (domestic cattle). RNAcentral's name for it is "long non-coding RNA NONBTAT005662". Lineage: Eukaryota; Metazoa; Chordata; Mammalia; Artiodactyla; Bovidae. The record is from RNAcentral.